GGGCGCGUAGCUCAGGCGGUCAGAGCGUACGGCUCACAUCCGUAAGGUCAUAGGUUCGAGUCCUAUCGCGCCCACCU
Molecule: transfer RNA, 77 nt
Filed under: Anaerolineae bacterium
Lineage: Bacteria; Bacillati; Chloroflexota; Anaerolineae
Description: tRNA-Val
Rfam family: tRNA
About the family: Transfer RNA (tRNA) molecules are approximately 80 nucleotides in length.
Source: RNAcentral